RNAcentral lists this ribosomal RNA (253 nucleotides) under uncultured bacterium. RNAcentral's name for it is "partial 16S ribosomal RNA". It matches the Rfam family "Bacterial small subunit ribosomal RNA", at positions 524 to 776 of the family's 1533-position model. The record is from RNAcentral.
UACGGAGGGUGCGAGCGUUAUUCGGAAUUACUGGGCGUAAAGCGCGCGUAGGCGGCUUUGCAAGUCGGGUGUGAAAUCCCCAGGCUUAACCUGGGAACUGCAUUCGAGACUGCAUUGCUAGAGUAUGGGAGAGGGAAGUGGAAUUUCAGGUGUAGCGGUGAAAUGCGUAGAUAUCUGAAGGAACAUCAGUGGCGAAAGCGACUUCCUGGACCAAUACUGACGCUCAUGUGCGAAAGCGUGGGGAGCAAACAGG